Molecule: ribosomal RNA, 253 nt
Filed under: uncultured bacterium
Lineage: Bacteria
Description: partial 16S ribosomal RNA
Rfam family: Bacterial small subunit ribosomal RNA
Source: RNAcentral
UACGAAGGGGGCGAGCGUUGUUCGGAUUUACUGGGCGUAAAGGGCGCGCAGGCGGCUCAUUUGGUCAGGCGUGAAAGCCCCGGGCUUAACCUGGGAACUGCGUUUGAUACGGAUGGGCUAGAGUUCGGGAGAGGAGAGUGGAAUUCCCAGUGUAGAGGUGAAAUUCGUAGAUAUUGGGAAGAACACCGGUGGCGAAGGCGGCUCUCUGGACCGAGACUGACGCUGAGGCGCGAAAGCGUGGGGAGCAAACAGG